UAGGGAAUCUUCCACAAUGGACGCAAGUCUGAUGGAGCAACGCCGCGUGAGUGAAGAAGGUUUUCGGACCGUAAAGCUCUGUUGUUGGUGAAGAAGGAUAGAGGUAGUAACUGGCCUUUAUUUGACGGUAAUCAACCAGAAAGUCACGGCUAACUACGUGCCAGCAGCCGCGGUAAUACGUAGGAGGCAAGCGUUGUCCGGAUUUAUUGGGCGUAAAGCGAGCGCAGGCGGAAGAAUAAGUCUGAUGUGAAAGCCCUCGGCUUAACCGAGGAAUUGCAUCGGAAACUGUUUUUCUUGAGUGCAGAAGAGGAGAGUAGAACUCCAUGUGUAGCGGUGGAAUGCGUAGAUAUAUGGAAGAAUACCAGUGGCGAAGGCGGCUCUCUGGUCUGCAACUGACGCUGAGGCUCGAAAGCAUGGGUAGCGAACAGGAUUAGAUACCCUGGUAGUCCAUGCCGUAAACGAUGAGUGCUAAGUGUUGGGAGGCUUCCGCCUCUCAGUGCUGCAGCUAACGCAUUAAGCACUCCGCCUGGGGGAGUACGACCGCAAGGUUGAAAC
This 555-nucleotide ribosomal RNA is filed under the name uncultured bacterium. RNAcentral describes it as "partial 16S ribosomal RNA". It matches the Rfam family "Bacterial small subunit ribosomal RNA", at positions 355 to 900 of the family's 1533-position model. The record is from RNAcentral.